UACGUAGGAUGCAAGCGUUGUCCGGAUUUAUUGGGCGUAAAGAGUUCGUAGGUGGUUUGUUAAGUCUGAUGUUAAAGACCGGGGCUCAACCUCGGAAGUGCAUUGGAUACUGGCAGACUCGAGUAUGGUAGAGGCGAGUGGAAUUCCCAGUGUAGCGGUGAAAUGCGUAGAUAUUGGGAAGAACACCGGUGGCGCAAGCGACUCGCUGGGCCAUUACUGACACUGAGGAACGAAAGCUAGGGGAGCAAAUGGG
This 253-nucleotide ribosomal RNA is filed under the name uncultured bacterium. Its description in RNAcentral is "partial 16S ribosomal RNA". It matches the Rfam family "Bacterial small subunit ribosomal RNA", at positions 524 to 776 of the family's 1533-position model. The record is from RNAcentral.